This 72-nucleotide transfer RNA is filed under the name Birmella discoidalisa. RNAcentral describes it as "tRNA-Cys". Lineage: Eukaryota; Metazoa; Arthropoda; Insecta; Hymenoptera; Tenthredinidae. The record is from RNAcentral.
GAUUUUAUAGUUAAAAAUUUUAUAACAUUAGAAUGCAACUCUAAAAUUAUAUAUUUAUUUAUAUUAAGAUUU